AUUUAUAUAGUUUAUAAAAAACAUUACAUUUUCACUGUAAAAAUAAAGAAAACUUUUAUAAAUA
RNAcentral lists this transfer RNA (64 nucleotides) under Pericapritermes sp. 4 SH-2021a. Its description in RNAcentral is "tRNA-Glu". The record is from RNAcentral. Lineage: Eukaryota; Metazoa; Arthropoda; Insecta; Blattodea; Termitidae.